AUAUGGUAUUAGUAGAUUAGUAAAUAGUAGCAGUGAACAUUGUUUUCUCACUUCUCAGAGUGCUUAUUUGGUAUUCAGUGCAGUAAAACUCUUGCUAAUUUUUUGUUGCUGAAUCCAUCAGAUCUUUCUGGUUUGUAUAGUGUCUGUCACAAUUAUGGAAUUCGUGUUGCACUUGAUGGAUUUGUCUUUCCAAUACAUUGCUUAUUUGGUAUUACUGUAAUAGAUUAAUAGAUUGGUACUUGGUAGCACUGAACAUUGUUCUCAGAGUUUAUUAGGUAGUUGACUUGGCUGUCGUAUAUGCUGGUGGAGGUAAAUAAAUAUGAAUUCUAUGAUGGAUAUGUUAUGUUAUGAUCAUUUCAUCUCACUUCACCAGAUCAUGAUUGAGCAUCAGAUUAAAUGUUUUUAAUCAGGUAAAAAUGAGGUAAUGAAGUAUCCAUGUAUAGGGUUCAAAAUAAUGCUUUACUGAGGU
RNAcentral lists this long non-coding RNA (469 nucleotides) under Trifolium pratense (red clover). Its description in RNAcentral is "long non-coding RNA (TPRA_LNC010306)". Lineage: Eukaryota; Viridiplantae; Streptophyta; Magnoliopsida; Fabales; Fabaceae. The record is from RNAcentral.